UUAUACGGCGAAACUGCGAAUGGCUCAUUAAAUCAGUUAUCGUUUAUUUGAUAGUACCUUACUACUUGGAUAACCGUGGUAAUUCUAGAGCUAAUACAUGCUUAAAACCCCGACUCACGAAGGGGUGUAUUUAUUAGAUUAAAAACCAAUGCCCUUCGGGGCUCUUUGGUGAUUCAUAAUAACUUUUCGAAUCGCAUGGCCUUGCGCCGGCGAUGGUUCAUUCAAAUUUCUGCCCUAUCAACUUUCGAUGGCAGGGUCUUGGCCUGCCAUGGUGACAACGGGUAACGGAGGGUUAGGGCUCGACCCCGGAGAAGGAGCCUGAGAAACGGCUACUACAUCCAAGGAAGGCAGCAGGCGCGCAAAUUACCCAAUCCCGACUCGGGGAGGUAGUGACAAUAAAUACUGAUACAGGGCUCUUUUGGGUCUUGUAAUUGGAAUGAGUACAAUUUAAAUCCCUUAACGAGGAACAAUUGGAGGGCAAGUCUGGUGCCAGCAGCCGCGGUAAUUCCAGCUCCAAUAGCGUAUAUUAAAGUUGUUGCAGUUAAAAAGCUCGUAGUUGAACCUUGGGCCUGGCUGGCCGGUCCGCCUCACCGCGUGCACUGGUUCGGCCGGGCCUUUCCCUCUGGGGAACCGCAUGCCCUUCACUGGGUGUGUCGGGGAACCAGGACUUUUACUGUGAAAAAAUUAGAGUGUUCAAAGCAGGCCUAUGCUCGAAUACAUUAGCAUGGAAUAAUAGAAUAGGACGUGUGGUUCUAUUUUGUUGGUUUCUAGGACCGCCGUAAUGAUUAAUAGGGACAGUCGGGGGCAUCAGUAUUCAAUUGUCAGAGGUGAAAUUCUUGGAUUUAUUGAAGACUAACUACUGCGAAAGCAUUUGCCAAGGAUGUUUUCAUUAAUCAGGAACGAAAGUUAGGGGAUCGAAGACGAUCAGAUACCGUCGUAGUCUUAACCAUAAACUAUGCCGACUAGGGAUCGGGCGAUGUUAUUAUUUGACUCGCUCGGCACCUUACGAGAAAUCAAAGUCUUUGGGU
RNAcentral lists this ribosomal RNA (1028 nucleotides) under Apiospora aurea. RNAcentral describes it as "SSU rRNA". It matches the Rfam family "Eukaryotic small subunit ribosomal RNA", at positions 74 to 1112 of the family's 1831-position model. The record is from RNAcentral. Lineage: Eukaryota; Fungi; Ascomycota; Sordariomycetes; Amphisphaeriales; Apiosporaceae.